RNAcentral lists this ribosomal RNA (468 nucleotides) under uncultured bacterium. RNAcentral describes it as "partial 16S ribosomal RNA". It matches the Rfam family "Bacterial small subunit ribosomal RNA", at positions 28 to 507 of the family's 1533-position model. The record is from RNAcentral.
GACGAACGCUGGCGGCGUGCUUAACACAUGCAAGUCGAACGGCAAGGCCCUGCUUUUGUGGGGUGCUCGAGUGGCGAACGGGUGAGUAACACGUGAGUAACCUGCCCUUGACUUUGGGAUAACUUCCGGAAACUGGGGCUAAUACCGGAUAGGAGCUUCUGCUGCCUGGUGGUGGUUGGAAAGUUUCGGCGGUUGGGGAUGGACUCGCGGCUUAUCAGCUUGUUGGUGGGGUAGGGGCUUACCAAGGCUUUGACGGGAAGCCGGCCUGAGAGGGUGACCGGCCACAUUGGGACGAAGACACGGCCCAGACUCCUACGGGAGGCAGCAGUGGGGAAUAUUGCACAGUGGGCGGAAGCCUGAUGCAGCAACGCCGCGUUCGGGAUGACGGCCUUCGGGUUGUAAACCGCUUUCACCUGUGACGAAGCGUGAGUGACGGUAAUGGGUAAAGAAGCACCGGCUAACUACGUG